UACGGGGGGGGCAAGCGUUGUUCGGAAUUACUGGGCGUAAAGGGCUCGUAGGUGGCCAACUAAGUCAGACGUGAAAUCCCCAGGCUUAACCUGGGAACUGCGUCUGAUACUGGAUGGCUUGAAUUCGGGAGAGGGAUGCAGAAUUCCAGGUGUAGCGGUGAAAUGCGUAGAUAUCUGGAGGAACACCGGUGGCGAAGGCGGCAUCCUGGACCGACACUGACGCUGAGGAGCGAAAGCCAGGGUAGCGAACGGG
This 253-nucleotide ribosomal RNA is filed under the name uncultured bacterium. RNAcentral's name for it is "partial 16S ribosomal RNA". It matches the Rfam family "Bacterial small subunit ribosomal RNA", at positions 524 to 776 of the family's 1533-position model. The record is from RNAcentral.